This 253-nucleotide ribosomal RNA is filed under the name uncultured bacterium. RNAcentral's name for it is "partial 16S ribosomal RNA". It matches the Rfam family "Bacterial small subunit ribosomal RNA", at positions 524 to 776 of the family's 1533-position model. The record is from RNAcentral.
UACGUAGGCAGCGAGCGUUGUUCGGAGUUACUGGGCGUAAAGGGUGUGUAGGCGGUUGUUUAAGUUUGGGGUGAAAUCUCCCGGCUCAACUGGGAGGGUGCGCCGAAUACUGAAUGACUAGAGUGCGGGAGAGGAAAGUGGAAUUCCUGGUGUAGCAGUGAAAUGCGUAGAGAUCAUGAGGAAGACCAGUGGCGAAGGCGGGUCUCUGGACAGUUCCUGACGCUGAGGCACGAAGGCCAGGGGAGCAAACGGG